Non-coding RNA from Vicugna pacos (alpaca), 410 nucleotides. NCBI's taxonomy places the organism in Eukaryota, Metazoa, Chordata, Mammalia, Artiodactyla, Camelidae. The record is from RefSeq and is a predicted model, not a curated record.
UAUUGGGAGAGAAUGUUGAGGAUGUAGCUAAGUUUUCUGCUGAUACUGCAGAUAGAGUGGAUGGGUGAGAAGCAGUGCCAGCUGAGCAGAUGUAAACGUUUUUGGAUGAAAAGAGGCUUACACAUCUAGUGAUUUAGGUAAGUGAGGUGAUGUGUGUUUGAUUUGGUUAUCAGUUUUAAGGAAGAGAUGGGGUAGUCCUGGGUACAUGCUAAUAUAAGUUGUGCAGUGGCUGAAGGAACUCGGUGGAAGGGAACAUUGCCUAUCCAGUCCUGGCUGCUGGUGUGUGUGUGUGUGUGGUGUGUGUGGUGGUAGUGGGUAGGAAGGCUGGUGUGGAUAAGUGUUCUGCUCUAUUAGCUGUUGAAUAACUUGCUGCUGAAGAUGGGAUUCUAAAAUAUAUAUGCCAGACAUGC